CAGUAGCCACGGGAAUACAGAGGAUGCAAGCGUUAUCCGGAAUGAUUGGGCGUAAAGCGUCUGUAGGCGGCUUUUCAAGUCCGCCGUCAAAUCCCAGGGCUCAACCCUGGACAGGCGGUGGAAACUACCAAGCUGGAGUACGGUAGGGGCAGAGGGAAUUUCCAGUGGAGCGGUGAAAUGCGUUGAGAUCGAAAAGAACACCAACAGCGAAAGCACUCUGCUGGGACGACACUGACACUAAGAGACGAAAGCUAGGGGAGCAAAUGGGAUUAGAUACCCCCGUAGUCCCUGUCUCUUAUAC
RNAcentral lists this ribosomal RNA (301 nucleotides) under uncultured bacterium. RNAcentral's name for it is "partial 16S ribosomal RNA". It matches the Rfam family "Bacterial small subunit ribosomal RNA", at positions 509 to 807 of the family's 1533-position model. The record is from RNAcentral.